CCCGACCUUGGUGUAAAGCUUUCCGUGCAGCGUUUGUUUCCCUCCGUUUCUAUGGGUUUUUGGUUCGGUUUCGGUUUGGAGUUAGGGUGGAAUUGCGUUUUCGGAUCUUUCUUAUUAGAUCUAUUGAAAUAGUGAUUGAUAUCAGUUGAAUCUCGGAUUUUGUGUUUCGUAGGUAAAUUGUUCUUGGAAUGGGCGGUGAUCUUGUGAUUCUGUUGUCGUCGAUCCGUUGUGAUGAUGAUCAUACAUUUAACUCUGUUUCACAUUUUUCUGAUUAGAUUUAUCGAAAUAGUGAUACAAAUCGGUUGAAUCUCGGAUUUUGUGUUUCCUAGGUAGAUUGUUCUUGGAAUGGACGGUGAUCUUGUGAUUCUGUUGCCGUUGAUCCGUUGUGACGAGGGUAGGACAUCUAACUCUAUUAAAUCGAUCUGUUUUGAUUCUUAUUCUUCUCGGGUUUUGGUACCGUUCAAUUUUGAACAUAAUGAGUACUGGCUCUCUUUUCAGUUAAUUAUGUUGUGCGGAUGGACCGACGGUUCUUUUGGGUUCCCUUCCUUUGCUACGAGUUCUAUAUUUCUUGUUUUAUUUUGGAACUUUGGAAGAUAUUUCAAUAUACGGUUUCUGCCUGCGUUGUUGUUGCCGGCUUUCCUAAUCCUUGAACUUCCUUAUUGCCGUGAUCGCCGCUAUUACUAGGAAUGCAUCUCUUUCCACGUUGUGAAUAAUUUUUGUCUUUUGAAGUUAAUUAGUAAUACGUCAGGAGAUAAAAGAUUAUUAGUAUCUUUUUGUGAAUGCAGUUAGAAAGAAGAGAUGAGUAGAUGGUCUAUGGCCAUGGCCUGAAGAAGAAAUGACAAGGAUGAAAGAUUUGGAAGAAAUGACAAAGGAUGAAAGAUUUGGAAGCUGUGGGUGGUAAGGGGGUCUUGUAAAAGCUUACCCUUGCACUUUUAUAUCUCCACCUACCUUCAUUUUACACUGAGAUUGUUUCAAUUUAAAAUUUGGUGUUGGUGAUUUUAGAUUGGUGGUCUAGGAGGUAUUGAUUGGAUCUCUUGGUUUAUAAGACUUCCAUGGGUUUGGAUUUCUGUCUCAACUUUCAAGGAGAUUUGCUUCCUGUUCAUAUAUCUCUAAAAUACUUGAUUUUGGGGGAUCUUGUAUUGGUACUGGGCAUGAUAUGACCUUUGACCCUUUUUUUUUUCAUUCAGAUGCUGUUUGGGUUAAUUAAAAGGACAAGGAUAAAGGAUCUUGCAGCAGUUCGAUUUUCUUUGGACCUCCAUCUUGCUUGAUAAUGGGUUUUAUGUGCAAUGGUUCUUGGCUGGCCGGUCUAUAAUGGGGAAAAUUUUUAAGUCUUCAUUUUCUUCUCUUGUGUUCUUUUUCAUUCUUUGCAGGAACUUCACUAUCAACCUUUUUCUGUUUAUCAAUUUCUCUUGUUUUUUGGCUUGACACAUGGUUUGUAGGUUGAUGUUGACAACAGUAAUCUUGGAAAUUCUACCAUCAGCACAUAAGACAAAAGUCUACACACUGAUUUCAAGAAGAUUUUGCUUCCUGGUUUUUCAUAUCUCUCAAAACUACUUGAUUUUGGAGAAUCUUGUACAGGUUUGCAUGGUAGUUUAUUAGGUUUGGAAAGAUUCUGGUGAUCACUUUCUAGUUUUGAAAGAUUGUGAAUGUCCUUGCUAGUUGGGACAAUGGUUUUAUGCAGACAUUUUUCUUGCGUUUGUGAUUGAUAGCUAUAUAUGUGCAUUUGUAAUUGUAGGUUGCAGAAGAUACGUUUCUGGUUUUUCAAGCUCUGCCACUGGUUUAUUUGUCAUUUGUGCUUUCAUUUCAUGGAUUUGUGAGGUUUUCUUUUACCUGGUUUAUUUAAAUGUCUGAAACAUAUUAGUUAGAGAAGAUUUCAAAUUGAAGGGAUUUCAUUUAACUGAAAAGAUGCCGUAGGGUUAGCAUAAAUGCGAUACUUUGGAUGUCAACUUUAUAUGAUUAUGUUUUUCGGUUGUGAGUUUGAGUUCUUAUUGUGGGAUUUAUAGGGAUCUGUUUUUCGGUUGCAGAGAUUCAUUAGAGUUUACAAGUUCUGUCAGCUGAGAUUUUACUUUUCUCGUGGUUCUCAGUGUCUGAUUCGGAUCUUUGCAUUGUUUGGAAGUUGAUAUUUUUUUAAAGCCUAGGCAGCUGAAAUGAAGCAUGUUGUUAGAAAUUGUAUUUAUAUACUUUUUUCUUUUUAAUGUUUGAGCAAGUUCUUGCUAAUUUAGUUGGCACGAGGUAAAUGUGUGGAAGAUGUGGCCCAUCAAGGACUUCAAAUUGGUUGAGCUUUUGUUUGACCUUCAUCUUUUUUUUUGAAAGCUUGUCCUUAAUAUCUGUUCGCUUGAUGUUGGCUUUCAUGUGCAGUGGUACGUUGGCUGGCCAUCCUGGUGGAGAAAAUUGAUAAGUCUUCAUUUCUUGCUAUUGGAUUGUUUUUAACUGUUGCAGGAUCUUUCACUUUCAGCUUUUUGUUUUUUUUCAAAAAGUGGUUGUUUGGCCUUUGUAUUAUUUGUUUUUAGGUUACCAUCUUGUUCCUUGGUUUUUGGUUUAUCUUGACUCUUUGUUUUUAUAGGCUGUUGUUAAAAACUUCAGGUAUGGAGAUUCUACCUUAAGCACAUAUGGUCACAUAUGCCUUUUUCCACACUUGUUUCAGGGCCUCUUAGUUUUUAAUGCUUUUAGUAUCUAUUAUGGUUUUGUUUGAUCUGGGUCUCCUGGAUUUUCAAUUUUUGAAUAUGGUUUCAACUCUCAAGGAGAUUUGCUUCCUGGUUCUCAUUGUAUUUCUUUAUAGUCUUCUGUGUUCAAGCUUUUAGGAUCCUGUGGAGUUAUGUUACUGAAUAUGAUAUGAGUUUAUUGACUCUAUUUUUUUUUAUUCUAUUUUUAACACAUAACACGGAAUUUAUAAUAUGGUUACAUAUGUUUUUUUAAGAUAUUAUUCCACCCUUGUUUGAGGGCCUCUUAGUUUUAAUGCUUUCAGUAUUUUAUUAUAUUUAAAUAUAUGGUUUCUGCUUGCAGUGAUGUUGCUGGCUUUCCUUUUCUAAAGUGCUGAUACCUAACCUUCCUCAUGGCCGUGAUCACCCAACUCUAUCUUUUUAUUGAGUUCAAGGUUUUGACAAAAGUUUUGUGAUGUUGCUGGCUUUACUUUUCUAAGGUGCUGAUUCUUGGACUUCUUCAUGGCUGUGAUCGCCACUAUUACUAGGAAUGUUUCUCGUUCAGUGUUGUGAAUGAUGCAUGUUUGGGGUUAUCAAUUUCCAGAAUUAUUAUGAAGACGGACAUGGAUGAAGGUUUCUCAUUGUUCUACUUUUUUCUUUUUGUUCUUUUUUU
Theobroma cacao (cacao) is the source of this 3312-nucleotide non-coding RNA. Lineage: Eukaryota; Viridiplantae; Streptophyta; Magnoliopsida; Malvales; Malvaceae. The record is from RefSeq and is a predicted model, not a curated record.